CGAUACCGAACUGUCUCUCGCCGCGGGCCCACCGUAGUAGUAUCCCAAAAGGCAUAACAAAGCAAUAAAAAUGAGGAUUUAAAUCCCAAUAUUUCUCUAUAAAUUCAAUCUCUCCGGCAUCGAGCCAAACACACCUCACUUCUUUUCACAGAACAUCCUGCAUAGCAUUCAAUACAGUAUUCAACAGAAUGCAUCCCGCCACUUUCGCUGCAAUCCACAUAAUGAUGAUCGCAUUUCUAGUGUUCGCGUUCGGAUCUCCGGUUACGGCACAGGACGCCAUAGCGCCUUCACCGGAAAUGGACACCGGAGCUGCUUUUGCGCUGCCGGUUUCUGGUAUUUUGGUUGUUUCUUCUGUUAUAAUAUCUCUGAGCAGGGCUUUGUGGUGGUGAAUUUCGAAGUUUUGGUACGUUGUCUGUAACUAUGCCUCUGUUGCUGAGUAUUGUGUGGAUGUGUGGUGAAGGUAAAAGAGGCUUUGUGCGAUGUUUUUAUGUUUCUGGUGGAGAGGAGGAGAGAUGUGAUUAUGAUUUUGCAAUUGAUGUGAUUUUAUGAAUGAUAAAUAAAUUCACAUUAAUUAAUUCUUUUUUUUUUUCUCUGUUCUGUUAUCAAAGUUCUUCCAAAAUAAAUAAAAAAUAAAUUCUAAUUAAAAAAAACACACUUACACACAAAAAAGUUAUAUAUUAAAAAAAUUAAAAUUAAAAGCAGUUUCUUUAUAAGCCAAACUAAGCUGUGUACCGGCUUUAAGAUGUUGUUGGCUUUUCUUAAAUGUGAAUUUUCAGGAUCGAGAUAUUUAGAUUGUCAUCAAAUCAAGUGGAUCUUCUGUAAAUCCUAAUCGAAAAUAUAUAAUUAAGAAAAAUUCAUAUUUAUAUAUUCUUAAAACAAAUUAUCAUUAUGCAUUAGCAUCUAAAUAUAAAAAUAUAAAAUAAGAAUACAAUCAAAAGUAUAAAACUUAUUUAAAAUUUACAAAAAUGAUAAUAUAUACCUAGAAAACAUUAAUAUUUCUAAUUUCAAAAAGGCAACAGCAGAGGCAUAUACCCCUCCACCUGAUUAAUGUAUUUUUAAUUUAUUAUGAAUAAAAUUAAAUAAAUUUAAUUUAAAUAAAUAUAAAGACAUAAAACUUAGAAACCAAACGAUCAAUCUAUGAAAAAAAUUCUUGACCAUGUUUGUGCUAAUAUUAUAUAAUUAAAAAUAAUGAAAAAUAAUCCCAAAUAAUUAAAUUAAAUUAGAUUUGAAAUAAUUUUCCAUCAUGUCUCUUCGAGGAAGAAAUUUUUUUAAGAAACGAUGGCACAGCAAAGUAAAAUGUCACAGAGCCCACCACCAACCUGGUCAGCUAUUUGUACACGUGGCAAUUAUACGUGGCUGCUAAAUUUUCACACUGGGGUCCACAGUUCCUCUAAAAUCCCCUAUUUAUAGACUCCUUGUUCACAAACCCUGGUCAUACUGUCAGUGUCCGAUUCCUGAGUCUGUGUUUCCUACUUUCCUCUGAGCUUUGGAGUUGGUUCAUCUUCAUCAUUCACCAAUGGCGUAAGAUAGCAUCGGCCUUCGUGCUCAUUCUCGCGGUGGCGAUCUUUGCGGCCGCUACCACUGUCUCGGCGAACAAUGAGGCUCCGGCGCCUGCUCCGUCUGCUGCAUCAUCGUUCUACUCACCGGUGUCCAGUGUUUUUGUUGUCUCUUUGGUCGCCUUCUCUGUUUUUGCUCUCUUGAAACAUUGAGUUUCGAUGCGUUGAAGAUUGCGUGAGGCGAUUUAGGAUUCCAUGGGAUUCAUUCAUUCGCUGCAUUAGUUUUAUAAAUGAAUUUAUUGUGAUCGCUGCAUUAGUGUUAAUUUAUUCUAAUGUAUUGAUCUGUUAUUCCCUUUCUGGAUCUCUGUUCUUGCCUCGGCAAUUACUGUGAUUAAUAAAGUAUCCUUUGUCAGUCUCUGCAAUAGAUUCUAAAAAUAUGAAUGAUCUAUUCUUGAUGAUUUUGCCACAAUUUCUUGCUGUUGAUUCUUUUAUUACAAGCAGAACUAGGCAAAACAAAAAUUAAGUGCUUGUUUGGAACCUCUUAAUGAAAACAGAUUUAUGACCUUUGGAGCAGAAAAAUUAUCCUGAAAACAAACAGUGUUUUAUUAGCGUAAGUUGUAUGUUAACCUUUUUUUCUGGCACGAAAACAUUGAAGUAUUUACAAAAGGAUUGGACUUAUUUUGGUUUCUCAAAUUUAAGAAAUUCAAUCUAUAACGAAAAGUGAGAGAAUAGGUUUUCUCAAAUUGUGGAAUAGCCUAAACACUUUCACAUAUUUUUUAUUUCAGAUUUCAGUAAUAAUAGGAUGGUUCCCUUUCUUUUGAUUUUACCGAAAUCAAGCAAAUAAGCCAUUAGAGUGUUUUGUUGUAUAUGUAGAUUGAUGCAUAUUAUUGUAGUGGAUAAUAAAACAAAUUAAUUAUUAUUUUUUUGUAUGUAUUUUUAAGAGAAUUAUUUAUUGUGUUUUUUCAUAAAACAUUGCAAAUAAUUUUUUAAUAUUAUAAAUGAUUUUUUAGAUUUUAAAACUAUUUUUAAAAUUUGGUUAAACACCAAUUUUUUGUUUUUUAAGUAUAUAUUUUUAAACUAAAAACACUUUUUAAAAUUAUUGUCUAAAGCAAAUGAUACUAUGAUAAAACAGUUAAAAAAAAUAGUACUUUGAAAAUUUUGCUUUUAAAAGUUAAUUAUUAUUUCAUUAUUUUAUAAUUUAGAAGCGUUAUUUAAUUAAAGUACUUUUGACUAUGAGCUUCUUAAGCUUUUAAGAAUAUACUAAUAUAAUUAUUUGUCAACUUAAGCCUUUUAAACUUUUAAGAGUAUAAGAAUACAAUUUUCAAAAUUUGAUUUAGAGUAUGUUUGAUAGUUAUUUUGAGAAGUGUUUUUAGUUUUUUUAUUUUUUUUUUAUUUUUUUAUUUUUUUAUCUUUAAAAUAUAAAAAAUAUUAUAAAUACUUCAUAAAAUUGCUAUGAAACGCACUCUUAUUCAAAUGUUAAAUGUGAGUUAAGAAAUAUAUUUUUAUUAAAUUAAAACUUUUAAAACAAAAUAAAAAAUCUAAUUUUUUUAAUAAGAAUAUUUUUAAAUAUAAUUACUAAACAUAAAAUUCAAUUUCCUAUACUAGAUUAAGAUAUUUCUUCUAAUAUAAUUAUGAGAUAAUUUUGACGAAGAGAUUGUCAUGAACAAAAUUUAUUGUUUACGAAAAUACACUAAUUUUUAGUUAUUAAUAGGGAUGACAAUGGGGCAAAUUUUUUCGACUACCUGUCCUGCUCCAUCCCUAAUGGGACGAUGUUCAAUUUUAAUAAACGGGUUUGAAAUUUUUUUUAGAAAUCGGGGGCAGGGGAUUUUCCCCGUCCCAUCCUAAUUAUAUAUAAAAAUAAUUUAAUUUAAAAUUUUAAAUUAUUUUAAUUUAAUUUUUAUUUUAGUAUUUUUAAUAUACAGAUAAUAAUAAAAUAAGUUAUAAAAAUAUAAUAAUUUAAUUAUUUAUAAAUAUAUAUUUAUUUUAAUGUAAUUAAAAAUUUUAAAAUAAUUUUAAAGAAAAUUAAAAUUCAAAAAAAAGUUAAACGGAACGGGACGGGACGGGGCGGGCAUAAGAAUUUAUCAUACAUUUAAUUUUUUAAAUGGGACUGGGAUGAGAAUUAUUUUGAAUAAAUGGGGUGGGAUUGGGAUGGAAGUGACCCGUUGUCAUCCCUAGUUAUCAUCUUCUUUAAAUGUUUUUUUAUAUUUAUAUUUAUUGAAAGUCCACAUGUGAUUGGAGCAAGUAAUAACUUCUUAUAACAUAGAUAACCCUAUUCUAGUUAUUAGUUAUAUAAAAAAUUAUUUUCUUUCAAUUAUAAGUGCUCAUAUUUUUAAAAACACAACAUUUAGUUUGUGCUCUCGAAAACACGAUGUUUAGUUUGUGUUAUUAAGAACACAACUUGGUUCGAAUUCUCAAUGGCAUGACUGAUUACUAGGUAUUGUUUCAUGUGAUCAUAGGGGACUUUUUAUUAAUGGUACUUUAGUUAAUUUUGAUAUUGAUUAAUUAUAAAAAAGAAUAUCAACAUUAAAUAGUUACAUGCGAUGAGUACCCUUCUACAUUUCACAAUUUUGUAUUUUCUCAAAUUUCACGCUUUUUUCAUUUAUUAACAAUAAUAACACUUUUUAUACUACAAUUAUGUUACAAAACACUUUAUAUUCCCUAUUAAUUUAAUUAUUUUUUAAAUAUAAUUACAGAAAAAAAAAAUUAGUUUAUGAUGUUUAUGUUUAAAAUAGAAAUAUCCAUACCAUAUCUAUAGGUCGGUCAUUAAUGAAUUUAAAUUUGAAAAAGCAUAAUAAUUAUCCUUUUUAAGAAAAUUGGAUAAAAUAAUCUCUGAAGUAAAAAGGACGACGGAACUUCAAUGGUAAAUCUUUUGUCUUUUGGCCCAGUCCUAGAGAGACGUUAGGUGGUUCUUAAAAGACAAAAGGGAAAAGGUUUGGCGCCUUCUCAGUUCUCCCACCCAACCGACCUCGGUGUGGACCAAUCGGCACAUGCAAAAUGAGCUGUUGGUACAGGUGGCAGCAUCUGACCAUCUGUCACUAUUCACUGUGGGGUCCAUACGUGAUCAAACCGCCUAUAUAUAGACCCCUCGUUCUAAAGCCCCAGCCAGAUCUAGUCGGUUCUCCAGUCCUGAAUAGUUCCUCCUGUUUCUCCGUCUCCGGUUGGUUCUACUUCUCUGUUCUCUUUCAGAUUUCGAGUUGGCUUUGCUCUAUCCUUCAUCAAUGGCGCAAGUUAGCAUCGCGAAGGCCUUAAUGCUCGUUUUCGUAGUCGCGAUCUUCUCUGCGGCUGCCACAGUCUCGGCGCUGGAUAACUCACCUGCGCCGGCCCCAUCGCCGGACGCUGGAUCGGCGUUCUCCCUCCCGCUAUCCGGCGCUGUUGUUGCCUCCUCUCUCGUUUUUUCUCUACUCGCCUUUUUGAAGUACUGAGUUUGGCUAUGAGAAGUUUUUAUCGUGGAGAUCGUGGAUUCAUUCUGUAGAGACUUUGAUGAUUGUAUUUGAUUUAUUCAUGAUCUACAUUAUUUAUUUAUUUUUAAGUAAAUAAAAUUUUAAUUAAUUUUGUUACAUUGAUCUGUCUAUUCCCUUUCUGAUUCCCUCUUACGCAAAUUUUGCUUGCUUUUGAUUUAAAAAAGAAUGCUUCAGAAAUCACAGUGAAAAGAAUAUUCAUCAGGAUUAUAGAUUUCAAAAGCAACUCCAACAAAUUAGUAUAUUGUUAUCAAUCAAUAUUUGAAGAUUAAUUUUUUUUUAAAUUUAAUUAGGAGAUAAAUUUGCAAUGUAAAAUUCUGGAUAAAAAUUAUUUAGCAUGAAUCAUUUUUUAUGAUGCAACGCCCCUGGAGGUGUAAAAUGGAGAAUUAAAAAGGAACUAAAGCAUCAAUGGCAACUUUUUUCUAGAAAAUGACAUUAAAAUUUGAAUUUAAGUCACAAUCCACUAUCCACAUUGGUUAUUAAGAUUAAAAUAGAGUUAUUGGAUGAAAGAUUUUGAGUGUACAAGAAUUUUAGAAGAUUUAAUGUUCUUCUACAUUGAAAGAAACAUAUUUAGGAACAUUCAAAUCUAAAGUAAAUUUUUUUUAUUUCUUUAAAUCUAGGUCCGUUUAUAUUUAAUAAUGCAUGCUUUCUUCCUUUGCUUAGGAUCUAGAGGCCUAGGAAAGUUUUUUCUGCUCUUAAUGUGAUAAUGGGAUAGGGAAUGAAGAAAUCUAAAAUUUCCUACAACAAGAAUAUCAUAGCCUAAUUUGAAGUUGAGAAAUGUAUGUUAAUGUUAUACUUUGUGCAAUAAAUUUAGUAAAAUAGUCACCAAGAAUGUUAUUGCUAAUUUGAUAAAAGGAGAAAAAUUAGAUGACAAUAAUUAUGAUAUAUAACGUAGAAAAAUUCAUUACCUAUUAAGUGAACAAGAGAUCUUGAAGACCUUAACUAAUGUCAUGAUCCAAUCCAAAGAAGAGAAUUUAGCUUAACAUCACCAUGAUUUGGAAACUUAUUAUUCUUUGUGUUAGAAAAAAAAAAAAAAAAGACUAAUCCAACCUACGGUAAUCACCCUAGGGGGGUGAAUAGGGUGAUGAUCUAUUUUUCUAAAUUUAAACUAUGUGAAUGUUAGAAACAUAUAUAUGCAAGUAUAUAAUAAAACAAUAUAAAAACAAUUACAAAUAAAGUAAAGGAAUGGGGAAAAGAUAAUGUAAACAUAAGAUUUUUAUAGUGGUUCGGCGCAACCCGACCUACAUCCAUUCUCCUCCAACAUUAAUCCCAAACUUAGAUUAUUCUUUUCAAAUAUAUGCAAAUAAUUUCACAAACUCCUAGUAUAAAACUUUAGACUCAAAUGAUACAUGUAAACUAGGAUUGAAUAGUGUACUAAAGAUAUACAAGUUUUAGAACAAUGAUGUACUAAAAAACACUUUUCCAAAGCUCAAAUAUAUUUAAGAAAUGUUUAGGAAGGUUAAACUCAUAAAAUAAUAAAGAUUUGAGUCUUUUUAUAAAAUAAAAAAGUCAAACUAGUCAUUGGGGGGUCGACCGAUCAAUUUGGGGGUCGAAUGAUUAACUAGGCGUUAGUAUUUAAUAUUUGGCAAGUGGUCGUUGGACCUCGAUUGGUUACUAUUCAUACAUUGACUGGUUUAGGUGGGGGUCGAUCGGUUAUUGUUUACACAUUGACCGAUAGAAUAAUUGUUUUGGAAGAGAUAUAAGGUUUUUUUGCACCCCUUGACGGAUUAAGCUAGGGGGUCGACCGAUUCCUCAUCCAGUUCAACCAGUUGAGCCGUUUUUGGCUUAAUAACCAACCUUUUAAAUAAGUUUGGAAAACAUUUGAUAUAAGGAUUUAGUUGAAAACAUGGAAUCAUCUAAAUUUAAAAAAUUUAAAACAAAAUAACUCUUAGAUGAUUUUGGUGCAUAAGUAAAGAAUAUAAUGCAUGAAAAUCAUAGUGCACCAAUAACCUUACAAAGAGAUCUCAUAAAAUUUGGGUUUUGAAAAACACUUCUCUUUGAGAUCUUCUUUUUCUUCGUAAUUUUUCUUUGACUUGAUUUGUCUUUGUAAUUGUCAUUUUGAAAAUCGUCUUACCUAAUCACACUUAAAAUAUAAUUAUUAGUUCUAAACCAUAUUUUGUUAUCAUCAAAACCAAGAUUAAUCAAACUUUGGUUUCACACUUGUGUUAAAAGAGACUAUUGUUCAUGUUUCACUAUAGUAACAUGCACAAUGACUUAAUAUGGGAGUUUGAGAAUUGUCCCACUGCUUAAGACAUGUGGAAUAAGCUUAAGAUUGCCUAUGGUUUGACAUAUGCAACUAGGUUGCGAGUGCUCACUUUGUAGUUCGAGUAAUAUGUCUUGGACCCCAAACACACCAUGUUUAAACAUUUUAGGAUAAUGUCAGUAAUAAUUCGUGAUUUAAAGGUAGUCAAUAAUAACCUAACUUAUGAGUAACAAGUCACAAUUGUUAUUUGUUAUUUACUUGAAUCAUAAGGACAAAUAAAACUUAAUACUCAUGCAUAAUGAGAAUAUUAAAACUUUUACUAAUAUUUUUCACCAGAUUAAGUUAGAAAAUGAGUGUUUAGGGCUAUGACAUACCACACUUGUCGCCCAUGCAGGGUACAACAUGGUAAUAAGCCUAAACAUAAGGGACAAGGAAAACACGGUUAGACAAUUGGAAACUUGGGCCGAAAAAAAGGAAAUCAUAAUAAAAAUAGAAAAAAAAAAAAAAAAAAAAGCAAAUGAGGUGAAAAUAAGGAUAAGCAUAAAAAAAAAUGCUACAACUAUGGAAAACUAGGUGUCUCUGCUCGUGAGUGUAUUAAGCUAAAGAAGGUAUAGCCAUAUCCUAAUUUUCGACAUGGUGGACUGUAGGCUUAGGAGCAAUAAAACAUGUAACAAGGAAUAAAGUGACAUUGGGUGGUUGGCGCCGUGUUUUUACUUGACGUGUUUUAUAGUUUCUUAAAAAGUUUUUUCCUCCUCAAGGAGACAACGAUGGAAAAUUAAUUCAUAUUUAAUUUAUAUCAAUUGGUAUUAUUUUUCAUUUUUUAAUUAUAUAAUAUUGGCACAAAUAUGGAGAGAUUUUUUUUCAUAGAUUUGUUUCUAAGUUUUAUUUCUUUAUAUAUUUAUUCAAAUUAAUUUUAUUUAAUCUUAUUUAUAAUAAAUUAAAAAUACAUUAAUUAGGUGGCGGGGUAUGCUUCUACUGUUACCUUUUUAAAGUUAGAAAUAUUAAUGUUUUCUAAUUAUAUAUUUUAUUUUUGUAAAUUUUAAAAAUGCCUCUUAUUUCUUAUUUUUUAUUUUUAAAAAUAGAAAAUAAAAAUAAAUUUGACAAUCAUAUAUAAAAAGGUACAUUUGUUUAUGUUGACACAUCAUAGAUGAGUGUUGUUUGUUGUACAGGAAAAAAAUAAAUAUUAUUAUAGAAUUCUUAUUUUACAACCUUUUAAAAGCUUAAUUAUUGUGAAAUAAUAUUUAAUGUAAUUUAAUAAUGAAUAUAUAUAUUUACAAAAUUCAUAUUUUUUUAUCAACAUACCCCAUAUUAAUAUUAAAUAUAACAAAUUAUAUUAUAUAAAUAUUAAUUUUUUCAACAACAUAACUUCAAAAUAUCUAUUAUUAUUUCUUAUAUCAUUUUUAAUUAUUUUUUAAGUUUUUAUUAAUUUUCAUUUUAUCAAAAUUAUGUCUCAAAAUAUUUAUUGAUAUUUUUAUUUAUAUAUCUAUAAAAUCAAAUUACUAAUACAUCAAUAAAAAUCAAUAUUUUUAUCCUUACUUACAAAGCGCUUUAUAUUUUCUAUCAAUUUAAUUAUUUUUAAAAUAUAAUUACUGAGAAAAAAUAGUAUAUAAUGUUUAUAUUUAAAAUAAAAAUAUCCAUAUAUCUAGGUCAGUCAAGAUUACUAAUGAAUUUAAAUUUCAAAAAAAAAAAAAUAUAUAUAUAUAUAUAUAUAAACAGGCACAAUAAUUAUCGUUUUAACAAAAAUAAGAUAAAAUUAUCUCUGAUGUGAAAAGGAGAACAGAACCCUGCUUGAAUGGGAACUCUUUUUCUUUUGGUCCAGCCUAGAGAGACGUUAGGUGGUUCUCAAAAGGCGAAAUAAGAUUUAAGGAAAAGGUUCGGCGCCUUCUCCCACCCAACGGAUCUCGCUGUGGACCAAUGGGCACAUGACAAAUGAGCUGUUUGGUACAGGUGGCAGCAUCUGACCAUCUGUCACUAUUCACUGUGGGGUCCACACGUCUCCCCCACACGGUCACACCGCCUAUAUAUAGACCCCUGAUUCUGAAGCAUUAGCCAUAUCUACUCAUUCUCCCGAAUACUUUCUUCUGCUUCUCUGUUCUCUUUCAGAUUUCGAGUUGGCUUUGCUCUAUCCUUCGUCAAUGGCGCAAGUUAGCAUCGCGAAGGCCUUUAUGCUCGUUUUCGUAGUCGCGAUCUUCUCUGCGGCUGCCACAGUCUCGGCGCUGGAUAACUCACCUGCGCCGGCCCCAUCGCCGGACGCUGGAUCGGCGUUCUCCCUCCCGCUAUCCGGCGCUGUUGUUGCCUCCUCUCUCGUUUUUUCUCUACUCGCCUUUUUGAAGUACUGAGUUUGGCUAUGUGAGAAGUUUUCAUCGUGGAGAUCGUGGAUUCACUCUGUAGAGACAUUGAUGAUUGUAUUUGAUUUAUUCAUGAUCUACAUUAUUUAUUUAUUUUUAAGUAAAUAAAAUUUUAAUUAAUUUUGUUACAUUGAUCUGUCUAUUCCCUUUCUGAUUCCCCCUUUCGCAAAUUCUAUUUUGUCAUUAAAAAUUAUGCUAUAAGUUUAAUAAAUAAUAAAACAAUAUGGAUUUGAACCUCCUUUAAACUAAAAUUCAGUUGUGGUGCAAAAUGGACUAAAAAGGGACUAAUGCAUGAAUGGUAACUUUUUUUUUUUUUCUUAAAAAAAAAACAUUAAAUGAGUAUUUUUGUCUUUUAUGUUUCCUCGUGGAUGCUUGCUAUUGAAAAUCUUAUUUUUUUUAUUUUCCUCUUGUAUUGAACAACUAGGUUCCAUUUUUUUCCAUCCCAACCACGAAUGGUUAGGGGUCUAUUCUUAUGGUAUGUUUGAAAAAAAUCAAUAUUCAAUACAUUCAUGUCUUACCACUCAUUAAAAAUAGCUAAAAUAUCUUUUAAAAUUUAUUUUUAAAUUUUGAAAUAGUAAAACUUUUUUACCCCUUCGAUUUCUUAAAAUAAUUUUUUUUUAAAUACUUGUCUUCGUUUUACUUAAAGACUCAAAACAAUUGAACUUAGGUACAAAAUAACGAAAAGUAAAAAAAAAAAAACGCACACACAAAUAUACAUAUAAAUAAAUAAAACUUAAGUCCAAUAAUCAUCUAUUAACACCACUUUUAUUUUAUAACACUAUUGAUCGUCAUACAUUCUACAUAAUUAAACUAUGAUGGAAAACUAUUUCUUGAAGUUUAAUUCUGAGAUAAUUUUAACAAAGAGAUUAUCAUGAUCAAUGAUGACGUGGAUUAAUUGUCAAAAAUAUCAAACAUCGGAUUAGGGCCCUCCUAAGUAAUUAAAGAUAUCCAUAGGUAAAAAUAGGAGAAAAUAAUCCCUCAAGGGUAAAAAGGAGAACACCGGUUCUCUGGUGACCUUUUCCCUUUGGGCCCAGUCCUAAGAGACGUUGGGUGGAUCUCAAAAGGCAAAACAAGAUUUAAGGAGAAGGUUCGGCGCCUCCUCCAACCCAACCGACCUAGCUGUGGACCAAUCGGCACAUGCCAAAUGAGCUGUUGGUACAGGUGGCAGCACCUGUCCAGCUGUCACUAUUCACCGUGGGGUCCACACUUCUCGCGCAAACCUCCUAUAUAUCGACCCCUCGUUCUGAAGCCCAGUCACAUCUUCCAGGUGCUCUCCGCUCGAAUAGUUUUCCUGUGUCUCUGUCUCCGGUUGGUUGGUUCUAUUUCUCUGCUCUCUUUCAGCUUUCGAGUUGGUUUUAGUGCUCUGUCCUUCAUCAAUGGCGCAAGUUAGCAUCGCGAAGGCCUUCGUGCUCCUUUUCGUUGUCGCGAUCUUCUCUGUGGCUACCACAGUCUCUGCGCAGGAUAACUCCCCUGCGCCGGCUCUAUCGCCGGACGCUGGAUCUGCGUUCUCCCUCCCUCUAUCCGGCAGUGUUAUAGUCUCCUCUCUCGUGUUUUCGCUUCUCGCUCUCUUGAAGUACUGAGUUCGGAUAUUUGAGAAAAUUUUAAUUUUUAUGUGAGGAUUGAGGAUUGUACUUGAUUCAUUCAUGAUCUAUAUUAUUUAUUUAUUUUAAGGAAAUAAAAUUUAUUUUAUUUUAUCACAUUGUUCUGUUUAUUCCUGAGAAAUGGAGAACUUUUUGUAUGCUUGGACCUCACGAAACAUUGCACAAACUUCAUGUGGACCAAAUCUAAUAAUGAAUUUGAAUUUGAAAAACAAUAAUAACAAAUUGGGAUCAUUCGUCAUGUUGUGGGUAAUACUUUUCUAAGGAUUAAACAUUUGAAGCGAUUUCUUGUCCGAAACCACUUAUAAUUACGCGUGUUUGACCCUGUUUCAGUUUUGUAAUUUUUGUCUUUGUUUUUCCUCAACAUUAUAUUAAAUUUUUUUGAAUAUUUAAAUUGGGUUAGAAAAACUUUUUAUAUUCCCAAUAAUAAGAUCGAAAGUAAUUGCCAUACGUUUAAUAUAUAUACAAUUUCUAAUAAUGAAUAUAGAUUUUUAAAAUACAAAUAUCAAACGCGUAUUUGGAAAUUGUUUAUUUUUAAUAAUAAAAAACAAAUCUACAACUUUAAAAAUAGAAAGGAAAUCAACGAAAAUUAAUCUUAUAACUAAGAAAGCGGUUUGACAAAAUUUUGAUAAAAAAAAUAUGUUUUUUUAGAAAUAUUUUAAAAAUAAGUAAAUUUCAUUAGUGUUUUUAAUGUUUAAAAAAAAUAUGGAUUUGAAAUUUUAUUAAAUGUUUUUAUUAUUUUAAAUUAAAUGGAAAGUAAGAAAAAUAAUAAUAAUAUUUGAUAAAAUUUUAAAUGAUUGAUGAUUAUAUAGAUUUAAUUCAAAUUUUAAAUGAGAUAAAUGAAAUUAAUCUGUUUAUUAUUAUUUUGAGGAAUAUGGAAUGAUUUUUAUAUUUUAUAUAAGUAUAUAAUAUUUUUUUUUAAAAAUGAUCAUCAAAAUUAAAAAUAUUUGAAUUUUCAAUGAUUUUUUUUAUAGAAUUUUUAAUAAUAAUUUUGUAUAAAUAAUGCCACAUAAACGACAAAAUAUCUUUGGUGAUUGGGCUUUACGUGUAAAAAAGAAAGCUGAAAAUGGAUCACCUAGCUUUGGUGACUUUUCGUCAGUUCCACUUUCCAAGAGAGCCGUUAUAGAUUUUUCAAAGUAGAGAUAUUUUUGAAAGCAACGUAAAACGGCCACUUCUUGGCUUUCGUGUUUCACACGUAAUUAGAAAUUUAGAAGAAGCAUCUUUUUCUUUGUUUUGUUUUGUUUUUUUUCCACACCCAUGAAUUGAAUGGUAUGUAGAGAGUUGAAUGGAUCGAAUCAUAAAAAGCCAGCCCCUGACCGAGUCACUGAGUCAUUAUGUCUCAAUAAUGAUUCCUAACGGUGAAUCGUCGAAUUCAGAUUUCUUCCAAACUAAAUAGUUUGUAAUUUAUAUUUCUAUAUUGAGAUGUGGGGCAUUAGAGACAAGGAACGUGUCAAAUAAGAAGUACUGCGCCACCCAUCGCCAGCCCCGCCGUGGACCAAUCAGCACAUGCCAUUAAUGAGCUGUUUGGUAUACGUGGAAACCUAUGACCAACGGUUCCCAUUCACACUAGACCCACGCGUCUUUCCAAAGCUACCUAUUUAUAGAACUCAUCUUCUCAAACCCUAAUAGCAUAUUCUCUCAAGAGUUCGAAAACACUUUCAUCUCUAACCUCUCUGUUUUCUCUAUUUCUCGUUGUCUUACGGAGUUUAUUCAAACAUGGCCCAAGUUAGCACCGUGAAGGCCACUAUGAUCCUCUUUGCUAUUGUGAUGUUUGCUGCAGCUGCUACAGUCUCGGCACAAGAAGUUUCUCCGACUCCAUCGCCGGAUGUUGGAUCAGCCUUUUCCGUACCUCUCCCCAAUGCCAUGAUUGUUUCAUCUCUGCUCGUUUCUCUCAUCGCUCUCAUAAAGCAUUGAAAUGGGAUUCGAGAUGUCGAAAUUAUCUUUUAUGUAUUGAUUUUAUAGAAGGAUCGAGUAUUGUAUUGUACUUAUUAUUGAGGAUUGUAUUUGAUUUAUGGAUGAUUCUCAUUAUUUUAUAAAUAAAUAAAUAAAAUUUUAAUUAUCUUUGAUUGUUAUCAUUUUUGUUUUAUUAUUGCACUUUUUGAUUGCAAAAAAAUGCUUUAAAGCAUUGAUUUUAUUAUAUGUCUCUAUUUUUCUCAUUUGAUAAUUUGGAUGAGAAUUGAAAUAUUAUAGGAUCGCAUAUUAACAUUUAAACAUGUAUUUAAUAGCAAAAAUUCAACCGAUUACCUUGAUUUAUGUCAUGGGAAGUCAUUUCUUCUCCCUCUGAUAUCCAAUAAGCUGCUUUUUGGGUGUGUGAUUGUUCGAGAAUUAUGGAUCAAUGAGCUCUUCCCUUACCUUCCAAAAUUCAGUCCAAAGUGCAAAUAUAUGUGUUUGAGUCAGUCAAGUAAAUUAAGAUGAAUCCAUAAAAAAUAAAACAAUAAUAUGUAUCUAGUCCCCUUAUGGAUCACAAUACAAAAAAUAAAUUAACACUUAUUUAUGAUAUUAUCAAAUUGAUUAUGUAAGUCCAUACAUAAAAAUUCCAACAAAUUUUACAUGUUUUUUCUUAUUUAAUAAUUUUAGAUAUUUUUCUUUAAUUUAAAAUAAAUAAGAUAUUUAACAAAAUAUUAAAUUAAUGAAAGUUAAUUAUAUUUAGACAAAACUAAGUGAAAUUAUCCCUUAGUUUAAAUUGGUAAGAUGCUUGUACUUUUUCUUAAAGUAGGUGUCCUAGUCUAGAACAACCAGCUUUACAGCUUACCAGAUUUCCAGAAUUAUUACCCAUGUGCCAACCCAAAAUUUGGCACCAAAAUCAUUUUAUUUUAUUUUAUUUCUAAAUGUUAAUGGGUAAUUACAACAUACAAAUUUUUUUGGAGAAAAUUAUGCUUUAUAGAACUUGAAAUUGACCAUAUGAAUGACAUAAUUGACAGAAAAUAUAUGAAAUUGUAAAAGAUAAAAAUACCAAAGAAAAUGACACAUAAAAUCUUUUUAAAAAUUGAUUGAUUGCACACAUGGUAAUGAUCCCGAAAAAUAUCUUAAUUUUUUAUUUGAUUAAUAUAAGAAAAUGUUAUUUACAAAAUAUCUUUCUUUUUUUUUACAAAAACCAAUUUCUAUUUGAAUUAGAAAAUAUUUAUAAAAAAAAUAAUUUUAUGUUAUAAAAAAAAACUCUCAAAUUUAUUAAGAAAAUAACUAUAAUUUAUUUAUUUUUAUGUUUCUAAUUUUCGGUUUAGAUUUUUUACCCAAUUGGUCAAAGCACAAUUUUCCCCAUUUUUUAUUCACAUUCAUCAUUAAAUGAAUCAAAUAUUUGAAGGCCUUUCUCCUUCAAUAAUGUGCUACAGGGGAAUUGAACGUUGGGCUAAUGCCACCCUCACCAUUUGCGUGACAACAAGGAUUUGAAUAGCAGCAAUUAACUAUUGCCAGCUUGGAAAAAGAAACCUUAGAAAGAAAAAAAAAACUAACGUUCAUUAUUCAAAAUUAAUCAGUCUUUUUGUAUUUUAUAUUAUUAAAUUAAUAAUAAAUAUUAUAAAAGAACAAUUGGGUGUCACAUGCCGACAUGAGGAGUCUAAGACCAACUGGCACAUAACACAAUCAGUUCCCGGGAAACUCGGCUUUUAUCAUGUUUAAUAAUAAAUAAAUAAAAAAUGAUUUAAGAUUAAUAUAUUACAUUAUUUUUCUUAUUCUUACAAUUUAAAAUUGAAUUUAAAAGUAAAGUAAUUAUCGAGGAAGAAUCCACCACACUGUACCCACUCAGCCACAUGCGCCCGUUGAGCUGUUGUCUAGUGGCUGCCUGGCUGGGCCGCUUCACCAGCUGUUAUUAUUCGCAGUGGGCCCUACUUGCCACUCCAACGUCCUAUAUAUUUGGGGUGGCUUCCUCUCUCGGUCUCACCAGCCCUAAGCCACUCUCAAAAUCACUCGCCUCCUUUCUCUCUCUAACUCUCCCUCAGUUUCUCACCGCCGAUCAGCUUCUCCACUGUUCACCAAUGGCGCAAGUUGGCAUGACGAAAGCCUUAAUGCUUGUCUUCGCAGUGGUGGCAAUCUUCUCUACGGCUGCUACAGUGUCGGCUCAAGAUGGCGCCCUGGCACCGGCUCCGUCGCCAGACGUCGGAUCUGCGUUCUCCGUACCUCUCUCCGGCGCUGUUAUGGCUUGCUCUCUUGUCCUCUCUCUUCUCGCUCUCCUGAAGCCUUGAGUUCCGAUCCAUGAGAGAUUGCAGAUUUUGUAUAUGGAUUGAAAUUUGAGGAUCGUAUUAAAUUUAUUCUUUGUUCAUUUGGGAGCAUUAUUAUUGUUACCAUUUUGUGUUAUUAUUUUAUUAUCAUAAUGAUAUAAGAGAUUUAUACUUAUUAUGUCGGAUCCGAUCUGCGUGAUGCUCUCUCUUCUCUUUUCCUCAAGAGAUUGCCAUUCUGAUUUUCUUCCAACGAAGCGAAUUGUUCUUGCAAAAGAAAACACUAAACCAUAAAGUAUUUUUAUAUUUAAACACGCAUGCAUAUGCUGUUUUCCAUAUUUAUUUUCAUUGAAAUAUCAUAGAGAAUUUUUUGUAGGUAAUUUUAUUUAAUAUUUUUUAAAAAUCUAAUCACUGAUAUCUUCCCUUUUAAGCUUUUAAUUUAUUAAUGGAAUUAUUAAAAUUAGAAGUUAAAUAGAGAUGAUUACUGACUUAGUAAUAUGUAUUAUAAUAAGAAAAAUAUAUUUAAUGUAAUAAUUGUAAAUUUAUUUAAAUUUAAAAAUUUUCACUUUAUUCAAUUAAAAUUUCUUAUACUAACCUUUUAUUUAUAUAUUUCUGGACCCCGGCCGCAUGAUUUGCGUUGAUGCAAGAUAAAGUCUACAAAUUAACGGAUAUUUCCAAAAGAAGAAGGGUAACGGUCAUCACCAAAUGUUAUUUUAUUAUGUUAAUAUUUAAUAGUUUUUAAUUUCCUUUUUAUAGAAAAAUAAUACAGAGGGACCCACCAACAUAGCUGUAAAGACACCAACACUGCACUUCACAUGUCCAUUUCAGCGUACGGUUGAAUUGUGACACGUCAUCAGAGUUGGUCUCCAAAGUGGGCCCCACACGCCGCUGCAAUUCACGAACGCUGUUGCUUAUUAUUCUCUCCCGGUUUCCAGAUUGUUCUGUUGUUUAUCUUUCAGUAAUGGCGCAAGUUAGCAUGAACAAAGCCUUGAUGGCCGUCUUCACAGUCGCGGUAGUCUUAUCUGCGGCCGCUACAGUAUCGGCGCAGGAUACUUCGCCGGCCCCGGCUCCAUCUCCAGACGCCGGAUCGGCGUUCUCCCUACCUCUCCCCGGCGUUUUCAUUGUUUCCUCUCUCUUCUUUUCCCUUCUCGCUCUUUUGAAACCUUGAGAUUUAUGGAUUGUAUUGGAUUCAUUCUUUGUUUAUUGAAUGAUAAUGUUUAUGAACAAAAAUCAUGGUAUUAUUUUCGUUGUUCAUGGGAGGGCUUAAAGCUUCGAUUCACUUAUUGCAUAAAUAGAAGCUUGAAUCUCAAUUUGAUAGUGCAAUAGCACAAAAAUAAAAUAAAAUAAUUGAUCUAUAAACGUAUUCGAUUGGAUCAGUCAUAAUUAUAGAAAGAAACCACUUCUUGGAGGCUCCUUUUCAAUAUUUUUUCUUAAUGAGAAUACCAAAUAAUAAAAUUUAAUAUAUAUAUAUAUAUAUAUAUAUAUAUAUAUAUAUAUAUAUAUAUAUAUAUAUCAAUUGAAUAACAAUUAUACUAAUCGAAUUGAGUGGUUGAAUUUUCCCUUUUGAGAAAACAAAAAAAAAGAAAAAAA
This 16844-nucleotide long non-coding RNA is filed under the name Vitis vinifera (wine grape). RNAcentral describes it as "long non-coding RNA (VVIN_LNC002684)". Lineage: Eukaryota; Viridiplantae; Streptophyta; Magnoliopsida; Vitales; Vitaceae. The record is from RNAcentral.